This 253-nucleotide ribosomal RNA is filed under the name uncultured bacterium. RNAcentral describes it as "partial 16S ribosomal RNA". It matches the Rfam family "Bacterial small subunit ribosomal RNA", at positions 524 to 776 of the family's 1533-position model. The record is from RNAcentral.
UACGUAGGGUGCAAGCGUUAUCCGGAAUCAUUGGGCGUAAAGAGUUCGUAGGCGGUUUGGUAAGUUUGCGGUUAAAUACGGUCGCUCAACGAUCGAAUUGUCGCGAAAACUCCCAAACUUGAGAAUGACAGAGGCAACUAGAAUUCCACAUGUAGGGGUAAAAUCCGUUGAUAUGUGGAGGAAUACCAAAAGCGAAGGCAAGUUGCUGGGUCAUUUCUGACGCUGAGGAACGAAAGCGUGGGGAGCAAACAGG